UAGAGUUUGAUCAUGGCUCAGAACGAACGCUGGCGGCAGGCCUAACACAUGCAAGUCGAGCGCGCCUUCGGGUGAGCGGCGGACGGGUUAGUAACGCGUGGGAACGUGCCCUUCUCUACGGAAUAGCCUCUGGAAACGGAGAGUAAUACCGUAUACGCCCUUUGGGGGAAAGAUUUAUCGGAGAAGGAUCGGCCCGCGUUAGAUUAGGUAGUUGGUGGGGUAACGGCCUACCAAGCCUACGAUCUAUAGCUGGUUUUAGAGGAUGAUCAGCAACACUGGGACUGAGACACGGCCCAGACUCCUACGGGAGGCAGCAGUGGGGAAUCUUAGACAAUGGGGGCAACCCUGAUCUAGCCAUGCCGCGUGAGUGAUGAAGGCCUUAGGGUCGUAAAGCUCUUUCGCCUGUGAUGAUAAUGACAGUAGCAGGUAAAGAAACCCCGGCUAACUCCGUGCCAGCAGCCGCGGUAAUACGGAGGGGGUUAGCGUUGUUCGGAAUUACUGGGCGUAAAGCGCGCGUAGGCGGAUUAGAAAGUUGGGGGUGAAAUCCCGGGGCUCAACCUCGGAACUGCCUCCAAAACUGCUAGUCUAGAGUUCGAGAGAGGUGAGUGGAAUUCC
RNAcentral lists this ribosomal RNA (615 nucleotides) under uncultured bacterium. RNAcentral describes it as "bacterial SSU rRNA". It matches the Rfam family "Bacterial small subunit ribosomal RNA", at positions 1 to 670 of the family's 1533-position model. The record is from RNAcentral.